This 497-nucleotide ribosomal RNA is filed under the name uncultured bacterium. Its description in RNAcentral is "partial 16S ribosomal RNA". It matches the Rfam family "Bacterial small subunit ribosomal RNA", at positions 28 to 507 of the family's 1533-position model. The record is from RNAcentral.
GAUGAACGCUGGCGGCGUGCCUAAUACAUGCAAGUCGAGCGAACAGACGAGGAGCUUGCUCCUCUGACGUUAGCGGCGGACGGGUGAGUAACACGUGGAUAACCUACCUAUAAGACUGGGAUAACUUCGGGAAACCGGAUCUAAUACCGGAUAAUAUAUUGAACCGCAUGGUUCAAUAGUGAAAGACGUUUUUGCCGUCACUUAUAGAUGUAUCCGCGCCGCAUUAGCUAGUUGGUAAGGUAACGGCUUACCAAGGCGACGAUGCGUAUCCGACCUGAUAGGGGGAUCGGCCACACUGGAAGUGAGACACGGAACAGACAACUACGGGAGGCAGCAGUAGGGAAUAUUACGCAAUGGGCGAAAGCAUGACGGAGCAAAGCCGCGUGAGUGAUGAAGGUCUUCGGAUCGUAAAACUCUGUUAUUAGGGAAGAAAAAAUGUGUAAGUAACUAUGCACGUAUUGACGGUACCUAAUCAGAAAGCCACGGCUAACUACGUG